This 125-nucleotide ribosomal RNA is filed under the name Obscuribacter sp. (SeqCode). RNAcentral describes it as "partial 16S ribosomal RNA". It matches the Rfam family "Bacterial small subunit ribosomal RNA", at positions 1 to 137 of the family's 1533-position model. Lineage: Bacteria; Bacillati; Candidatus Melainabacteria; Candidatus Obscuribacterales; Obscuribacteraceae (SeqCode). The record is from RNAcentral.
ACAACGGAGAGUUUGAUCCUGGCUCAGGACGAACGCUGGCGGUGUGCUUCACACAUGCAAGUCGAACGAGGUAGCAAUACCUAGUGGCGGACGGGUGAGUAACGCGUGGGAAUCUGCCUUUAGAU